AAUUUUGGACAAUGGGCGCAAGCCUGAUCCAGCCCUGCCGCGUGAGUGAAGAAGUCCUUCGGGUUGUAGAGCUCUUUCGGACGGAAAGAAAUCGCGCAGGCUAAUACCCUGCGCGGAUGCCGGUCCAGUCAUAAGAAGCACCGCCCAACUACUUGCCAGCCGCGGCGGUAAUACGUAGGGUGCGAGCGUGAAUCGGAAUUACUGGGCGUAAAGCGGGCGCAGGCGGUUGAUUAAGACAGGCGUGAAAUCCCCGGGCUUAAACUGGGAACUGCGCUUGUGACUGGUCAGCUAGAGUACGGCAGAGGGGGGUGGGAUUCCACGUGUAGCAGUGAAAUGCGUAGAGAUGUGGAGGAACACCGAUGGCGAAGGCAGCCCCCUGGGCCGAUACUGACGCUCAUGCACGAAAGCGUGGGUAGCAAACAGG
RNAcentral lists this ribosomal RNA (424 nucleotides) under uncultured bacterium. Its description in RNAcentral is "partial 16S ribosomal RNA". It matches the Rfam family "Bacterial small subunit ribosomal RNA", at positions 360 to 776 of the family's 1533-position model. The record is from RNAcentral.